CCCUAGCCCUGAUAGCAGCGGCAUCCUUUUUAGGCAAACGAAAAUAAUUUUAUUAAAACCGUCAACCUUCUGCCUAAAAAGAUAUAGCGGAUAGCAGGAACUUGC
RNAcentral lists this small RNA (105 nucleotides) under Flavobacterium phragmitis. RNAcentral's name for it is "Flavo-1 RNA". It matches the Rfam family "Flavo-1 RNA". Lineage: Bacteria; Pseudomonadati; Bacteroidota; Flavobacteriia; Flavobacteriales; Flavobacteriaceae. The record is from RNAcentral.